Molecule: ribosomal RNA, 433 nt
Filed under: uncultured bacterium
Lineage: Bacteria
Description: partial 16S ribosomal RNA
Rfam family: Bacterial small subunit ribosomal RNA
Source: RNAcentral
AACGAACGCUGGCGGCAUGCCUAACACAUGCAAGUCGAACGAGACCUUCGGGCUUAGUGGCGCACGGGGGCGUAACGCGUGGGAACCUGCCCUUAGGUUCGGAAUAACUCCCCGAAAGGGGUGCUAAUACCGGAGAAUGUCUUCGGACCAAAGAUUUAUCGCCUUUGGAUGGGCCCGGGAUGGAUUAGCUGGUUGGUAGGGUAAAAGCCUACCAAUGCGACGAUCCAUAGCUGGUCUGAGAGGAUGAUCCGCCACACUGGGACUGAGACACGGCCCAGACUCCUACGGGAGGGAGCAGUGGGGAAUAUUGGACAAUGGGCGAAAGCCUGAUCCAGCAAUGCCGCGUAAGUGAUGAAGGCCUUAGGGUUGUAAAGCUCUUUUACCCGGGAUGAUAAUGACAGUACCGGGAGAAUAAGCUCCGGCUAACUCCGUG